UACAGAGGGGGCAAGCGUUGUCCGGAAUUACUGGGCGUACAGCGCGCGCAGGCGGUUGUCAACGUGCCGUGUGACAAGCGGGGGCUCAACCCCCGAGGGCCACGGUACACGGGGCGACUGGGAGGCAGGGAGAGGGAUGGUGGAAUGCCCGGUGGAGCGGUGAAAUGCGUAGAGAUCGGGCGGAACACCAGCGGCGAAGGCGGCAUCCUGGCCCUGUCCUGACGCUGAGGCGCGAGAGCGUGGGGAGCAAACCGG
Molecule: ribosomal RNA, 255 nt
Filed under: uncultured bacterium
Lineage: Bacteria
Description: partial 16S ribosomal RNA
Rfam family: Bacterial small subunit ribosomal RNA
Source: RNAcentral